AUGCUUGCUUCAGCAGCGCAUAUACUAAAAUUGGGAUGAUACAGAGAAGCUUAGCAUGGCUCCUAUGCAAGGAUGACAGGGAAAUUCAUGAAGUGUUCCAUUUUUUU
Molecule: small nuclear RNA, 107 nt
Organism: Choloepus hoffmanni (Hoffmann's two-fingered sloth)
Lineage: Eukaryota; Metazoa; Chordata; Mammalia; Pilosa; Megalonychidae
Source: Ensembl